This 1429-nucleotide long non-coding RNA is filed under the name Felis catus (domestic cat). Its description in RNAcentral is "lncRNA (ENSFCAG00000049891.1)". Lineage: Eukaryota; Metazoa; Chordata; Mammalia; Carnivora; Felidae. The record is from RNAcentral.
GAUCGACCACAAACAGCCCGUGUGUGUGUGUGAGCAGCAUCUGCUGGGAACAGGGGUACAACUUCACAUCUUCCUGGAGCCUCUGCCCAGGGGCCCUGAUUGGCUGGGCCGCCUCUGGGGAGCCUGUCACGUGGGCCCCACCUGUCAGCACCAAUUGGGGUCUCCCAGACACCUGCUCUGCGCCCGGGGUUGCCAUGGGGACGGGCCGGCGGGGCGCGUGUGGGCACACCUGUCUGUGUCGGCGUGGCGCUGUGGCCGCCGCUGAGCUGUCCACACGAGCACGGAGGGGAGGCCCUGACCACUGUCCCCUCCCGCACUGGGAAAGGAAGGAGGCCUUCUUUUGCUCUCCUCCAAUUCCACACCUCCGGGAUAGGGAUUCAGGAAGCUUCCCCCAAUUUCCAAUGAAAGACACAGAGGCUCGGAGAAAGGAGUUCACUUGCGUAAGGUCGCCGAGCCCUCGGAAAGUUCCAGAGCUGGUGAGGGUUGGGGUGGGGGCGGGAGGGCCUCAAGAGUCCAGAAGACGCCCUUGCCCGGUGGAGCCCUGGCCCUCUACCCUCCACCCAGCCAGAGGCAGGUGCAGGCUCCGCAUCAGAUGUAUACGACGAGAAGACAGUGCAACCUGGCUGCCCCAGUUUGGAGCAUUACGGCCGUUGGCGCUGCUGAUCGGCUCUGGCGUCUCCUGGCUGCCUCCUCCUCAGCUCCACUCAGACACACCCCCAGCCCCCUCCCCUCCCCAGCCCCCCCCCCCACCGCACCCCUGCCUGCAGGCCACAGGCCCUCCCGCCCAGCAGGGGAGAGAGAAGCACAGCCACCCGGCCCCCAGGAUGGACAGUGAGCCAACAGGAGGACAGAGGGAGGGGCCUCAGCCCUUCUCAACACAGCAGCCACGAGCCCAGUCCUGGCCAGAACAGUCCGGGCCCCGGGGACCAGCUCUGCGAAUUAGAAGGUCACGGAGCCAGGAAACGGCAGACGCCAGGAGGGCCUGACCCGGGACUGGGUCACCACGUGCAGUGGAGGACGGCGGGAGGCCUCGGUGGUGGCACCACCCCGGCCAUCCUGGCGGCCCUGGGCACCCGUGCACCAGCCUGUCCCGGGGCCCAGCACUGCCGGGCUCGGCAAGCAGACGCUGCCGGUCAGGAAUGCAGAAUUGGCCUUUAAAUACUUCAGUGAUUUCAUGCCGUGGCGUCUCCCUCUUCCCCAGCCGCCCGAGGCGCCGGGCCGCGCCGCUGAGGCCUAAUGAGCUGUGAAGGUCCAUUUUUCAAAGUUAAACAUUUCCCGGGCUCCCUGGCCCAGGCUUUAGCUGCAGCCUGGAAACGUCCUGGGUGCGGGGCCCACACGGCCACCGGCGAGGCUGCUGCCCACACGGGUUUCCAGAACACCCUCCGCUCUGUUCUCACUGCCCGCCGGUGCCCGCGGACAACCAACCCAG